AACACUGUUAACCUGCGGUACCUGCGGAGGGAUCAUUAUAGUAUAUGGAAUCUCCAUUCUAUAAACCCACUCUGCGUAUCUUGUAACUGUUGCUUCCAUGGGACUUGGUUCCGCCACACCGGCUUCACGGCUGGUGAGCGCCCACGGAAGGAGAAACAAAACUCUUCUUUGAAAUGUAGUCAGUCUGAACAAGUUUUUAUAAACGUUAAAACUUUCAACAACGGAUCUCAGAUCGGAAGA
RNAcentral lists this unclassified non-coding RNA (240 nucleotides) under soil metagenome. RNAcentral describes it as "partial contains 5.8S ribosomal RNA, internal transcribed spacer 2, and large subunit ribosomal RNA". The record is from RNAcentral.